UACGUAGGGUGCAAGCGUUGUCCGGAAUUAUUGGGCGUAAAGAGCUCGUAGGCGGUUUGUUGCGUCGGCUGUGAAAUCCCGAGGCUCAACCUCGGGUCUGCAGUCGAUACGAGCAAACUAGAGUCGUUGCAGGGGAGACUGGAAUUCCUGGUGUAGCGGUGAAAUGCGCAGAUAUCAGGAGGAACACCGGUGGCGAAGGCGGGUCUCUGGGCAGUAACUGACGCUGGAGGAGCGAAAGCGUGGGGAGCGAACAGG
Molecule: ribosomal RNA, 255 nt
Filed under: uncultured bacterium
Lineage: Bacteria
Description: partial 16S ribosomal RNA
Rfam family: Bacterial small subunit ribosomal RNA
Source: RNAcentral